CUUGAGAAUAAACAAUGACGGAAAUUUGAGAAAGGUCAUGCUCAUUAACAACGGCGAGGGCCGUCUGCUCUCGGAUAGUCCCACUUACGAGAGUGCGGCAAAAAAGUUCUGAAGAAUGAGAAGAAGAGGUUGUUGACCUCGAUGGGGGAAGCCAGCUGCUUAGGUGUUAGAUUUUUGUACGGCAUGAGAAUAGUUGCAGCAACUUGAAAGGGACAAA
Non-coding RNA from Caenorhabditis elegans, 217 nucleotides. NCBI's taxonomy places the organism in Eukaryota, Metazoa, Nematoda, Chromadorea, Rhabditida, Rhabditidae. The record is from Ensembl.